RNAcentral lists this non-coding RNA (29 nucleotides) under Homo sapiens (human). Lineage: Eukaryota; Metazoa; Chordata; Mammalia; Primates; Hominidae. The record is from RNAcentral.
UAGAGCCAGCUACCAGUUCUCAGUCCUGC